This 443-nucleotide ribosomal RNA is filed under the name uncultured bacterium. Its description in RNAcentral is "partial 16S ribosomal RNA". It matches the Rfam family "Bacterial small subunit ribosomal RNA", at positions 338 to 795 of the family's 1533-position model. The record is from RNAcentral.
CCUACGGGAGGCAGCAGUUAGGAAUAUUGGGCAAUGGAGGAAACUCUGACCCAGCAACGCCGCGUGAAGGAAGAAGGUUUUCGGAUGGUAAACUUCUGAUCUGUGGGACGAAGAAAGUGACGGUACCACAGGAGAAAGCCACGGCUAACUACGUGCCAGCAGCGGCGGUAAUACGUAGGUGGCGAGCGUUGUCCGGAAUAACUGGGCGUAAGGGGAGCGUAGGUGGUAGAUUAAGUUAAAUGUGAAGGCCCAGGGCUCACCGCUGGAACUGCAUUUAAGACUGGUCGGCUAGAGUACAGGAGGGGUAAACGGAAUGUGUAGUGUAGCGGUGAAAUGCGUAGAUAUUAGGCAGAACACCGAAGGCGAAGGCGGUUUACUGGACUGCAACUGACACUGAGGCUCGAAAGCGUGGGUAGCAAACAGGAUUAGAUACCCCUGUAGUC